CCUACGGGUGGCUGCAGUGAGGAAUAUUGGUCAAUGGGCGCGAGCCUGAACCAGCCAAGUAGCGUGAAGGAUGACUGCCCUACGGGUUGUAAACCUCUUUUAUAAAGGAAUAAAGUGAGGCACGUGACCCUUUUUGUAUGUACUUUAUGAAUCAGGAACGGCUAACUCCGCGCCAGCAGCCGCGGUAAUACGGAGGAUCCGAGCGUUAUCCGGAUUUAGUGGGUUUAAAGGGAGCGUAGAUGGGUUGUUAAGUCAGUUGUGAAAGUUUGCGGCUCAACCGUAAAAUUGCAAUUGAUACUGGCAGUCUUGAGUACAGUUGAGGUAGGCGGAAUUCGUGGUGUAGCGGUGAAAUGCGUAGAUAUCACGAAGAACUCCGAUUGCGAAGGCAGCUUACUAAACUGCCACUGACAUUGAUGCUCGAAAGUGUGGGUAGCAAACAGGAUUAGAUACCCUGGUAGUC
This 460-nucleotide ribosomal RNA is filed under the name uncultured bacterium. RNAcentral's name for it is "partial 16S ribosomal RNA". It matches the Rfam family "Bacterial small subunit ribosomal RNA", at positions 338 to 795 of the family's 1533-position model. The record is from RNAcentral.